UACGUAGGGGGCAAGCGUUGUCCGGAAUCAUUGGGCGUAAAGAGCGUGUAGGCGGCCCGGUAAGUCCGCUGUGAAAGUCGAGGGCUCAACCCUCGAAUGCCGGCGGAUACUGUCGGGCUAGAGUCCGGAAGAGGCGAGUGGAAUUCCUGGUGUAGCGGUGAAGUGCGCAGAUAUCAGGAGGAACACCUACGGCGAAGGCAGCUCGCUGGGACGGUACUGACGCUGAGACGCGAAAGCGUGGGGAGCAAACAGG
Molecule: ribosomal RNA, 253 nt
Filed under: uncultured bacterium
Lineage: Bacteria
Description: partial 16S ribosomal RNA
Rfam family: Bacterial small subunit ribosomal RNA
Source: RNAcentral